UACGUAGGGUGCAAGCGUUGUCCGGAAUUAUUGGGCGUAAAGAGCUCGUAGGCGGUUUGUCGCGUCUGCUGUGAAAGCCCCGGGCUCAACCUGGGAAUGGCGGUUGAAACUAGUCGACUAGAAUCUGGCAGAGGGGGGUGGAAUUCCACGUGUAGCAGUGAAAUGCGUAGAGAUGUGGAGGAACACCGAUGGCGAAGGCAGCCCCCUGGGCUGAGAUUGACGCUCAGGCACGAAAGCGUGGGGAGCAAACAGG
Molecule: ribosomal RNA, 253 nt
Filed under: uncultured bacterium
Lineage: Bacteria
Description: partial 16S ribosomal RNA
Rfam family: Bacterial small subunit ribosomal RNA
Source: RNAcentral